GAUGAACGCUGGCGGCGUGCCUAAUACAUGCAAGUCGAGCGAACAGACGAGGAGCUUGCUCCUCUGACGUUAGCGGCGGACGGGUGAGUAACACGUGGAUAACCUACCUAUAAGACUGGGAUAACUUCGGGAAACCGGAGCUAAUACCGGAUAAUAUAUUGAACCGCAUGGUUCAAUAGUGAAAGACGGUUUUGCUGUCACUUAUAGAUGGAUCCGCGCCGCAUUAGCUAGUUGGUAAGGUAACGGCUUAUCAAGGCAACGAUGCGUAGCCGACCUGAGGGGGUGGUCGGCCACACUGGAGCUGAGACGCGGUCCAUACUCCUACGGGAGGCAGCAGUAGGGAAUCUUCCGCAAUGGGCGAAAGCCUGACGGAGCAACGCCGCGUGAGUGAUGAAGGUCUUCGGAUCGUAAAACUCUGUUAUUAGGGAAGAACAAAUGUGUAAGUAACUAUGCACGUCUUGACGGUACCUAAUCAGAAAGCCACGGCUAACUACGUG
RNAcentral lists this ribosomal RNA (497 nucleotides) under uncultured bacterium. RNAcentral's name for it is "partial 16S ribosomal RNA". It matches the Rfam family "Bacterial small subunit ribosomal RNA", at positions 28 to 507 of the family's 1533-position model. The record is from RNAcentral.